CCUACGGGUGGCUGCAGUGGGGAAUCUUGCGCAAUGGACGAAAGUCUGACGCAGCGACGCCGCGUGGGUGACGAAGGCCUUCGGGUUGUAAAGCCCUGUGGGGCGAGACGAACAGCUUCUGGUCGAACAGGCCAGGAGUCUGACGGUAUCGCCUUAGCAAGCACCGGCUAACUCUGUGCCAGCAGCCGCGGUAAUACAGAGGGUGCAAACGUUGCUCGGAAUUACUGGGCGUAAAGCGCGUGUAGGCGGUUUUAUAAGUCCGACGUGAAAGCCCAGGGCUCAACCCUGGAAGUGCGUUGGAUACUGUGAAGCUGGAGUCCUGAAGAGGAGAGCGGAAUUCCCGGUGUAGAGGUGAAAUUCGUAGAUAUCGGGAGGAACACCUGUGGCGAAGGCGGCUCUCUGGGCAGGUACUGACGCUGAGACGCGAAAGCGUGGGGAGCAAACAGGAUUAGAUACCCGUGUAGUC
Molecule: ribosomal RNA, 466 nt
Filed under: Weissella confusa
Lineage: Bacteria; Bacillati; Bacillota; Bacilli; Lactobacillales; Lactobacillaceae
Description: bacterial SSU rRNA
Rfam family: Bacterial small subunit ribosomal RNA
Source: RNAcentral